GAUGAACGCUGGCGGCGUGCUUAACACAUGCAAGUCGAGCGAAGCAGUUAAGUUGAUUUCUUCGGAUUGAUUCUUAAUUGACUGAGCGGCGGACGGGUGAGUAACGCGUGGGUGACCUGCCCCAUACCGGGGGAUAACAGCUGGAAACGGCUGCUAAUACCGCAUAAGCGCACAGAGCUGCAUGGCUCAGUGUGAAAAACUCCGGUGGUAUGGGAUGGGCCCGCGUCUGAUUAGGCAGUUGGCGGGGUAACGGCCCACCAAACCGACGAUCAGUAGCCGGCCUGAGAGGGCGACCGGCCACAUUGGGACUGAGACACGGCCCAAACUCCUACGGGAGGCAGCAGUGGGGAAUAUUGCACAAUGGGGGAAACCCUGAUGCAGCGACGCCGCGUGAGCGAAGAAGUAUUUCGGUAUGUAAAGCUCUAUCAGCAGGGAAG
RNAcentral lists this ribosomal RNA (437 nucleotides) under uncultured bacterium. RNAcentral describes it as "bacterial SSU rRNA". It matches the Rfam family "Bacterial small subunit ribosomal RNA", at positions 28 to 447 of the family's 1533-position model. The record is from RNAcentral.